CGGACCACAAGAUGGCGUCCACGGCGGAUUCCAAUCGGUGUUGGUUUGCCGGUGAUUAAAGGUGUUUAUCAGCUGGAGUGGACGGUUUUGCCAGCGAGCCACAGCGCAUCCUAAGAUCCAUCGUUCAGAGCGGAGUUCAAGAGCGCUGCUGCUCCACACCACAGGCCGACACAGCAGGCACACCUGUUUCACUGAUCCGCUUCAAAAUCAACAAAUGACUGGCUGCCAAAGCGAGCGAUAUUCCCCCAUGACAGCGGGACUGGAGGCCAGCUCUACUGAGACACACACUCCAGUCAGGCAGUGUUCCCUGUCUACUUAUGACCUUCUCCGGAGCCAUAUUCUUCACAGAGCAAGAACACAGCCUUUAGCGAGACGUGGCUUCUCUCUCUUUCUCUCUCUCUCCAAAAGUCUUUGGCGUUUCUUUAAAAUUUCCCACCGAGACAAAAGACGGAUUAAGUAAAGUUGCUUUAAAUCCUCGG
RNAcentral lists this long non-coding RNA (479 nucleotides) under Danio rerio (zebrafish). RNAcentral's name for it is "lncRNA si:dkey-192l17.3 (ENSDARG00000097967.2)". Lineage: Eukaryota; Metazoa; Chordata; Actinopteri; Cypriniformes; Danionidae. The record is from RNAcentral.